ACCAUCUUACUCUCAUUUUACAGCACUUGUUUGAGAUGACACAUAUUCAACAUUUGCUUGACAGGGUUCCUUUGGUUCAAAAGUAGAUUAAAAUAAUGAGUGUUGGACUAUCGGUGCAAGUAUAGAGGAGGAUAGCUUUGUGUUGUCCUUUACAUAAGUAUGAAAAUAGAACAAUCUUAGUUAAUGUGCACGCGAUCAUUCUCAUGUAUUAAAUUGUUAGGACUUGAAGUACAUG
Molecule: unclassified non-coding RNA, 235 nt
Filed under: Hevea brasiliensis (rubber tree)
Lineage: Eukaryota; Viridiplantae; Streptophyta; Magnoliopsida; Malpighiales; Euphorbiaceae
Source: RNAcentral